CGGACGGGUGAGUAAUGUCUGGGAAACUGCCUGAUGGAGGGGGAUAACUACUGGAAACGGUAGCUAAUACCGCAUAACGUCGCAAGACCAAAGAGGGGGACCUUCGGGCCUCUUGCCAUCGGAUGUGCCCAGAUGGGAUUAGCUAAUAGGUGGGGUAAAGGCUCACCUAGGCGACGAUCCCUAGCUGGUCUGAGAGGAUGACCAGCCACACUGGAACUGAGACACGGUCCAG
Molecule: ribosomal RNA, 232 nt
Filed under: uncultured bacterium
Lineage: Bacteria
Description: partial 16S ribosomal RNA
Rfam family: Bacterial small subunit ribosomal RNA
Source: RNAcentral